RNAcentral lists this ribosomal RNA (492 nucleotides) under uncultured bacterium. Its description in RNAcentral is "partial 16S ribosomal RNA". It matches the Rfam family "Bacterial small subunit ribosomal RNA", at positions 29 to 507 of the family's 1533-position model. The record is from RNAcentral.
AGUGAACGCUGGCGGUAGACCUAACACAUGCAAGUCGAACGGCAGCACAGUAAGAGCUUGCUCUUACGGGUGGCGAGUGGCGGACGGGUGAGGAAUACAUCGGAAUCUACUUUUUCGUGGGGGAUAACGUAGGGAAACUUACGCUAAUACCGCAUACGACCUACGGGUGAAAGCAGGGGAUCUUCGGACCUUGCGCGAUUGAAUGAGCCGAUGUCGGAUUAGCUAGUUGGCGGGGUAAAGGCCCACCAAGGCGACGAUCCGUAGCUGGUCUGAGAGGAUGAUCAGCCACACUGGAACUGAGACACGGUCAAGACUCCUACGGGAGGCAGCAGUGGGGAAUAUUGGACAAUGGGCGCAAGCCUGAUCCAGCCAUACCGCGUGGGUGAAGAAGGCCUUCGGGUUGUAAAGCCCUUUUGUUGGGAAAGAAAAGCAGCAGGUUAAUACCCCGCUGUUCUGACGGUACCCAAAGAAUAAGCACCGGCUAACUUCGUG